UUGGUACUUGGAGAGUGGUUAUCCCUGUCCUGUUCGUUUUGCUCAUGUCGAAUCGUACAGGGUCAUCCACUUUUUCAGUAUCAA
MicroRNA precursor from Aotus nancymaae (Ma's night monkey), 84 nucleotides. NCBI's taxonomy places the organism in Eukaryota, Metazoa, Chordata, Mammalia, Primates, Aotidae. The record is from Ensembl.